Molecule: non-coding RNA, 164 nt
Organism: Nasonia vitripennis (jewel wasp)
Lineage: Eukaryota; Metazoa; Arthropoda; Insecta; Hymenoptera; Pteromalidae
Source: Rfam
UAACUUACUUGGCGCGGAGGAUACCGUGAUCAGGAAGGCGGCUCCUCCUGGGGGAGGCCCGACCAUUGCACCUGAGGCUCGGGUUGAACCUUGCGAAUACUCCCCAGCGGGUAUAUCGAGCGCAUAAUUUUUGGUAGUCGGGAUCAGCGUUCGCGCGAUCCUGG